UUCUGAUUCAUGUGAUCCCCUCCAAG
Molecule: non-coding RNA, 26 nt
Filed under: Mus musculus (house mouse)
Lineage: Eukaryota; Metazoa; Chordata; Mammalia; Rodentia; Muridae
Also listed under: 1 other name
Source: RNAcentral